AACGAACGCUGGCGGCAGGCUUAACACAUGCAAGUCGAACGAGAUCUUCGGAUCUAGUGGCAGACGGGUGAGGAACACGUGGGAACAUCCCUUUCAGUUCGGAAUAACGUUGGGAAACUAACGCUAAUACCGGAUACGUCCUUCGGGAGAAAGAUUUAUCGCUGAAAGAUUGGCCCGCGUCUGAUUAGCUAGUUGGUGAGGUAAUGGCUCACCAAGGCUACGAUCAGUAGCUGAUCUGAGAGGAUGAUCAGCCACAUUGGGACUGAGACACGGCCCAAACUCCUACGGGAGGCAGCAGUGGGGAAUAUUGGACAAUGGGCGCAAGCCUGAUCCAGCCAUGCCGCGUAAGUGAUGACGGCCUUCGGGUUGUAAAGCUCUUUUGUCCGGGAAGAUAAUGACUGUACCGGAAGAAUAAGCCCCGGCAAACUUCGUGCCAGCCGCCGCAGUAU
This 449-nucleotide ribosomal RNA is filed under the name uncultured bacterium. Its description in RNAcentral is "partial 16S ribosomal RNA". It matches the Rfam family "Bacterial small subunit ribosomal RNA", at positions 29 to 523 of the family's 1533-position model. The record is from RNAcentral.